RNAcentral lists this ribosomal RNA (378 nucleotides) under uncultured eukaryote. Its description in RNAcentral is "partial 18S ribosomal RNA". It matches the Rfam family "Eukaryotic small subunit ribosomal RNA", at positions 592 to 976 of the family's 1831-position model. The record is from RNAcentral.
CAAUAGCGUAUAUUAAAGUUGUUGCAGUUAAAAAGCUCGUAGUUGGAUUUCGGGACGGGCCAGUUGGUCCGCCGCAAGGUGUGUUACUGACUGGUCUGUUCUUCUUCGCAAAGACUGCGUGUGCUCUUCGUUGAGUGUGCGUAGGAUUUACGACGUUUACUUUGAAAAAAUUAGAGUGUUCAAAGCAGGCUAUCGCUUGAAUACAUGAGCAUGGAAUAAUGGAAUAGGACUUUGGUCCUAUUUUGUUGGUUUCUAGGACCGAAGUAAUGAUUAAGAGGGACGAUUGGGGGCAUCCGUAUUUCGUUGUCAGAGGUGAAAUUCUUGGAUUUACGAAAGACGAACAACUGCGAAAGCACUUGCCAAGAGUGUUUUCAUUAA